Molecule: ribosomal RNA, 774 nt
Filed under: uncultured Neocallimastigales
Lineage: Eukaryota; Fungi; Neocallimastigomycota; Neocallimastigomycetes; Neocallimastigales
Description: partial large subunit ribosomal RNA
Rfam family: Eukaryotic large subunit ribosomal RNA
Source: RNAcentral
AGAGAGAGACAUGCGCGCAUAUCAAUAAGCGGAGGAAAAGAAACUAACAAGGAUUCCCCUAGUAACGGCGAGUGAAGCGGGAAGAGCUCAAAUUUGAAAUCUUAAAGGGUUUCCCUUUACGAAUUGUAGUUUAAAGAAGUGUUUUCUGUUGAGGUUUUGGUAAAAGUUCUUUGGAAUAGGACAUCAUAGAGGGUGAGAAUCCCGUAUUUGACCUUUACUUUCAACUUUGUGAUACACUUUCAAAGAGUCGGAUUGUUUGGGAAUGCAGUCCAAAAUGGGUGGUAAAUUUCAUCUAAAGCUAAAUAUUGGCGAGAGACCGAUAGCGAACAAGUACCGUGAGGGAAAGAUGAAAAGAACUUUGAAAAGAGAGUUAAACAGUACGUGAAAUUGUCAAAAGGGAAGCGUUUGACACCAGUGUUGUUUUUCUGAAAAUCAAUUAAAGAACUGUUUAUGCUAAGUUGUUUAGACUUUAUCAGCUAACUGUUUAGUUUUGAGCUUUUCUUUAAUGCACUUUUCAGUUAACAAGUCAACAUCAAUUUCUUUUGCUGUAAAAAAGCUUGAGGAAGGCGGCUUGAGAUUCGUCUUAAGUGUUUAUAGCCUCUUGCCUAUGCAGUCGGAGAGAUUGAGGUCUGCAGCGUAGAUCCUUCGGGGCUAAAUGCAUUUGUGCUAAGUUAUAGCAUUUUAUAGACAACUUGUUGACUAUGAUUUGUCUUGUAGCUUACUCGCUUAUGUUAUUUUACCUACGCUUAGGAUGUUGACGCAUGAGAUAUACGC